GAUUGUUAAAAAUGAGUCUGCGGAAGCAAACCCCUAGUGACUUCUUAAAGCAGAUCAUCGGGCGCCCAGUUGUGGUGAAAUUAAACUCUGGCGUGGAUUACCGAGGGGUCCUGGCCUGCCUGGAUGGCUACAUGAAUAUAGCAUUGGAACAGACAGAGGAGUAUGUAAACGGACAGCUGAAGAAUAAGUAUGGAGACGCAUUCAUCCGCGGAAACAAUGGUCUUGAGUAUACACCAGAUCAGUUUUGCUGUACAUAAGUACACAGAAGAGGCGGAUGUGAAGACGCCAGGAGAGAGGCACUGCUCUUCAGCGAUGGAUAUAUGAUCACUCUUAUGAUCUUGGUGGCCUGUUUUUGUGGUGGCUGGUGGGGGUUUUGUUUUCUUUUGUUUUUUUAAUUGACAUCAGAAUAAGAUAGAGGUAUUACAUUACAGAUUGAAUCUUAAGCUUUU
This 449-nucleotide long non-coding RNA is filed under the name Rattus norvegicus (Norway rat). RNAcentral's name for it is "long non-coding RNA NONRATT014179". The record is from RNAcentral. Lineage: Eukaryota; Metazoa; Chordata; Mammalia; Rodentia; Muridae.